RNAcentral lists this ribosomal RNA (1103 nucleotides) under Priocnemis oregana. RNAcentral describes it as "SSU rRNA". It matches the Rfam family "Eukaryotic small subunit ribosomal RNA", at positions 59 to 1087 of the family's 1831-position model. Lineage: Eukaryota; Metazoa; Arthropoda; Insecta; Hymenoptera; Pompilidae. The record is from RNAcentral.
CUCAGUGCAUGCCGAAAUAAGGUGAAACNNGCNGAAUGGCUCAUUAAAUCAGUUAUGGUUCCUUGGAUCAUACAAAAAUUUACUUGGAUAACUGUGGUAAUUCUAGAGCUAAUACAUGCAAACUAGAGUUCCUCUCAGAGAUGGGAGGAACGCUUUUAUUAGAUCAAAACCAAUCGGUGGCGGGUGGUUCGCCAUUCGUUCAUCGUUUGCUUUGGUGACUCUGAAUAACUUUGUGCUGAUCGCACGGUCCUAGUACCGGCGACGCAUCUUUCAAAUGUCUGCCUUAUCAACUGUCGAUGGUAGGUUUUGCGCCUACCAUGGUUGUAACGGGUAACGGGGAAUCAGGGUUCGAUUCCGGAGAGGGAGCCUGAGAAACGGCUACCACAUCCAAGGAAGGCAGCAGGCGCGCAAAUUACCCACUCCCGGCACGGGGAGGUAGUGACGAAAAAUAACGAUACGGGACUCAUCCGAGGCCCCGUAAUCGGAAUGAGUACACUUUAAAUCCUUUAACAAGGAUCCAUUGGAGGGCAAGUCUGGUGCCAGCAGCCGCGGUAAUUCCAGCUCCAAUAGCGUAUAUUAAAGUUGUUGCGGUUAAAAAGCUCGUAGUUGAAUCUGUGUGCCACACUGUCGGUACACCGCUCGUCGUCUUACUGACACGAUGUGGGACGUCCUACCGGUGGGCUUAGCUUUGCCUUGUGCUUGGCGGUCCAACUAUACAUCCCAUCGCGGUGCUCUUCAUUGAGUGUCGAGGUGGGCCGGUACGUUUACUUUGAACAAAUUAAAGUGCUUAAAGCAGGCUACUCUCGCCUGAAUAUUCUGUGCAUGGAAUAAUGGAAUAGGACCUCGGUUCUAUUUUGUUGGUUUUCGGAACCCCGAGGUAAUGAUUAAUAGGGACAGAUGGGGGCAUUCGUAUUGCGACGUUAGAGGUGAAAUUCUUGGAUCGUCGCAAGACGGACAGAAGCGAAAGCAUUUGCCAAAAAUGUUUUCAUUAAUCAAGAACGAAAGUUAGAGGUUCGAAGGCGAUCAGAUACCGCCCUAGUUCUAACCAUAAACGAUGCCAGCCAGCGAUCCGCCGAAGUUCCUCCGAUGACUCGGCGGGCAGC